AUGUCCCCUCUCCCCGACCUCUCAUCUCUCUCCCACGACGUGUGCACCGCCGCCAGGUCCGUUGCUCAUCUGGUUAAUCCCGACGGGCAUAUUUUCUUUCUGCUCUACCUCAGGAGACCUCCUCCCCUGAGCACUCCCCUCCCACAGGAGACCUCCUCCCCGACCUCUCAUUUUCUCUACCGACGGCCAAACUGGUGGUGUACCGCCGCCAUCCCGGCGCUGAAGCCGGCGAGAUCCUGCGUCCCCAUCAUGACCCGGAUUCCCUAUGCCACCAGUACGCCGGAUACCUCAAGGUACCCCUACCCCCCACCCCUGCCCGCGGCAUCCGCCUAUCUCCGCACCCUAGGAGCUCCCUCACGCUAUCAGCCUUCGGAGCCUUCAGAUCUGAUUUCACAUUAUGGCCGUCUCUAG
RNAcentral lists this ribosomal RNA (411 nucleotides) under Triticum aestivum (bread wheat). Its description in RNAcentral is "partial small subunit ribosomal RNA". The record is from RNAcentral. Lineage: Eukaryota; Viridiplantae; Streptophyta; Magnoliopsida; Poales; Poaceae.